GACCUGGCUCAGAUUGAACGCUGGCGGCAUGCUUUACACAUGCAAGUCGAACGGCAGCAUGAGGAGCUUGCUCCUUGAUGGCGAGUGGCGCACGGGUGAGUAAGACAUCGGAACGUGUCCUUUUGUGGGGGAUAACUGUCCGAAAGGACAGCUAAUACCGCAUAAGACCUGAGGGUGAAAGCGGGGGAUCGCAAGACCUCGCGCGAAAGGAGCGGCCGAUGGCCGAUUAGCUAGG
Molecule: ribosomal RNA, 235 nt
Filed under: uncultured bacterium
Lineage: Bacteria
Description: partial 16S ribosomal RNA
Rfam family: Bacterial small subunit ribosomal RNA
Source: RNAcentral